Long non-coding RNA from Chinchilla lanigera (long-tailed chinchilla), 370 nucleotides. RefSeq lists it as uncharacterized. The transcript has 3 exons. The record is from RefSeq and is a predicted model, not a curated record. NCBI's taxonomy places the organism in Eukaryota, Metazoa, Chordata, Mammalia, Rodentia, Chinchillidae.
UGUGAGCGCACCAGAAGCAUAUGUGUUAAUGGAGUUCUGCUAUCAACAUCACAGCACAACUGGAAAUGACUGUCAGGUUACAGGGAAGGCCAAUUCUUCCUUGACCACACUGAAGGACCCGCAAAAGGACCACUGAGCCACAGUUUUGAUGAUGCAGUAUGAUUUGUGGAUACUUUUGUUCGAUGGAUUUCCUAGCCUGGGACGUCAAAAGCUGUCCUAAGAAGAAAGUUACCUGACUCUUACAAGUUAAUGUUCAUCCACUAGUGGAGAUUUGUAAACCUCAAGAUGAGAGCAUCUAUACCAAAGAGUGAUGAUCGCUCUGAGCUCCAUCUCUUGCCCUUCCAAAAUCUGCCUUAUCUUUUAUGUGGAC